Molecule: ribosomal RNA, 1292 nt
Filed under: uncultured bacterium
Lineage: Bacteria
Description: bacterial SSU rRNA
Rfam family: Bacterial small subunit ribosomal RNA
Source: RNAcentral
CUUAAUUGACUGAGCGGCGGACGGGUGAGUAACGCGUGGGUGACCUGCCCCAUACCGGGGGAUAACAGCUGGAAACGGCUGCUAAUACCGCAUAAGCGCACAGAGCUGCAUGGCUCAGUGUGAAAAACUCCGGUGGUAUGGGAUGGGCCCGCGUCUGAUUAGGCAGUUGGCGGGGUAACGGCCCACCAAACCGACGAUCAGUAGCCGGCCUGAGAGGGCGACCGGCCACAUUGGGACUGAGACACGGCCCAAACUCCUACGGGAGGCAGCAGUGGGGAAUAUUGCACAAUGGGGGAAACCCUGAUGCAGCGACGCCGCGUGAGCGAAGAAGUAUUUCGGUAUGUAAAGCUCUAUCAGCAGGGAAGAUAAUGACGGUACCCAACAAGGAAGUGACGGCUAACUACGUGCCAGCAGCCGCGGUAAAACGUAGGUCACAAGCGUUGUCCGGAAUUACUGGGUGUAAAGGGAGCGCAGGCGGGAAGACAAGUUGGAAGUGAAAUCUAUGGGCUCAACCCAUAAACUGCUUUCAAAACUGUUUUUCUUGAGUAGUGCAGAGGUAGGCGGAAUUCCCGGUGUAGCGGUGGAAUGCGUAGAUAUCGGGAGGAACACCAGUGGCGAAGGCGGCCUACUGGGCACCAACUGACGCUGAGGCUCGAAAGUGUGGGUAGCAAACAGGAUUAGAUACCCUGGUAGUCCACACCGUAAACGAUUGAUUACUAGGUGUUGGAGGAUUGACCCCCUUCAGUGCCGCAGUUAACACAAUAAGUAAUCCACCUGGGGAGUACGACCGCAAGGUUGAAACUCAAAGGAAUUGACGGGGGCCCGCACAAGCAGUGGAGUAUGUGGUUUAAUUCGACGCAACGCGAAGAACCUUACCAAGUCUUGACAUCCCUUGACAGACAUAGAAAUAUGUAAUCUCUUCGGAGCAAGGAGACAGGUGGUGCAUGGUUGUCGUCAGCUCGUGUCGUGAGAUGUUGGGUUAAGUCCCGCAACGAGCGCAACCCUUAUGGUCAGUUACUACGCAAGAGGACUCUGGCCGGACUGCCGUUGACAAAACGGAGGAAGGCGGGGACGACGUCAAAUCAUCAUGCCCCUUAUGUCCUGGGCCACACACGUACUACAAUGGUGGUUAACAGAGGGAGGCAAUACCGCGAGGUGGAGCAAACCCCUAAAAGCCAUCCCAGUUCGGAUUGCAGGCUGCAACCCGCCUGCAUGAAGUUGGAAUCGCUAGUAAUCGCGGAUCAGCAUGCCGCGGUGAAUACGUUCCCGGGCCUUGUACUCACAAGCCGUCA